UUGGAUGGUAGUUUAGUCCCUGGGAACUC
RNAcentral lists this non-coding RNA (29 nucleotides) under Rattus norvegicus (Norway rat). Lineage: Eukaryota; Metazoa; Chordata; Mammalia; Rodentia; Muridae. The record is from RNAcentral.